UCUGCGGGAGAGUUCGGUUUAUUACCGGCGCCGAAGGAGCAACCGCCCCGGAAACUCUCAGGCAACCGGACCGGGA
This 76-nucleotide non-coding RNA is filed under the name marine eukaryotic metagenome. RNAcentral's name for it is "Glycine riboswitch". It matches the Rfam family "Glycine riboswitch aptamer", at positions 11 to 84 of the family's 94-position model. From Rfam's summary of the family: This family represents the bacterial glycine riboswitch. Glycine riboswitches usually consist of two metabolite-binding aptamers domains with similar structures in tandem. The aptamers cooperatively bind glycine to regulate the expression of downstream genes. The record is from RNAcentral.